GCCGAGCUGGUGAAAUUGGUAUACACGCAGGUUUUAGGUACCUGUGUCAUAAUGAAUGACUUGGGGGUUCAAAUCCCCCGCUCGGUA
Molecule: transfer RNA, 87 nt
Filed under: Candidatus Portiera aleyrodidarum (primary endosymbiont of Bemisia tabaci)
Lineage: Bacteria; Pseudomonadati; Pseudomonadota; Gammaproteobacteria; Johnevansiales (SeqCode); Johnevansiaceae (SeqCode)
Also listed under: 1 other name
Description: tRNA-Leu (TAG) (tRNA-Leu-TAG-1-1)
Rfam family: tRNA
About the family: Transfer RNA (tRNA) molecules are approximately 80 nucleotides in length. Their secondary structure includes four short double-helical elements and three loops (D, anti-codon, and T loops).
Source: RNAcentral